This 528-nucleotide ribosomal RNA is filed under the name Escherichia coli. RNAcentral's name for it is "bacterial SSU rRNA". It matches the Rfam family "Bacterial small subunit ribosomal RNA", at positions 998 to 1526 of the family's 1533-position model. The record is from RNAcentral. Lineage: Bacteria; Pseudomonadati; Pseudomonadota; Gammaproteobacteria; Enterobacterales; Enterobacteriaceae.
UUGUAGAGAUACGAGGGUGCCUUCGGGAACUGUGAGACAGGUGCUGCAUGGCUGUCGUCAGCUCGUGUUGUGAAAUGUUGGGUUAAGUCCCGCAACGAGCGCAACCCUUAUCCUUUGUUGCCAGCGGUCCGGCCGGGAACUCAAAGGAGACUGCCAGUGAUAAACUGGAGGAAGGUGGGGAUGACGUCAAGUCAUCAUGGCCCUUACGACCAGGGCUACACACGUGCUACAAUGGCGCAUACAAAGAGAAGCGACCUCGCGAGAGCAAGCGGACCUCAUAAAGUGCGUCGUAGUCCGGAUUGGAGUCUGCAACUCGACUCCAUGAAGUCGGAAUCGCUAGUAAUCGUGGAUCAGAAUGCCACGGUGAAUACGUUCCCGGGCCUUGUACACACCGCCCGUCACACCAUGGGAGUGGGUUGCAAAAGAAGUAGGUAGCUUAACCUUCGGGAGGGCGCUUACCACUUUGUGAUUCAUGACUGGGGUGAAGUCGUAACAAGGUAACCGUAGGGGAACCUGCGGUUGGAUCAC